AGGGAAGGAAGGAAGGAAACGAGAGCAAUAAAGAUCGGCGACCGUCGAGGCAAAUGCAUCAACGUCCAGCGGAGAAACAAAUGGAGAUAAAUCCGAGUGCGCGUCCGUGCCAGAAGAGGAUGCUGUCAGAGAGGCUCUUAAAGGCACAGAUGCUGCUGCGCGUCCACGCAGGAGCCUGUGCGAGGAGGCACCGAGUGGUAAAGAUACACGCACCUUAUAAAAGGUGGCUGGUUCUGUCCGAGAGCUCUCCAGGGUCCUGAACUCACAGUGGUGCUGAAGGAAGUAACCGCCCCCCCCC
Molecule: non-coding RNA, 298 nt
Organism: Gasterosteus aculeatus aculeatus (three-spined stickleback)
Lineage: Eukaryota; Metazoa; Chordata; Actinopteri; Perciformes; Gasterosteidae
Source: RefSeq, a predicted model, not a curated record